CAAUUCAAUUCAGUUUUAUUUGUAUAGCGCCAAUUCAUAACAGACGUUAUCUCAGGACACUUUUCAAAUAGAGCAGGUCUAGACCGAACUCUUUAAAACAUUAAUUACAGAGACCCAACAGUACCACCAUGAGCAAGCACUUGGCGACAAGGGCAAGGAAAAACUGCCUGUUAAAAGGCAGAAACCUAGGACAGACCCUUCGGCUCUAGGUGGGUGGUCGUCUGCCUCGACCAGUUGGGGUGAAAGAGAGAGAGAGAGAGAGAGAGAGAGA
Dicentrarchus labrax (European seabass) is the source of this 271-nucleotide long non-coding RNA. RefSeq lists it as uncharacterized. The transcript is spliced from 2 exons. Lineage: Eukaryota; Metazoa; Chordata; Actinopteri; Moronidae. The record is from RefSeq and is a predicted model, not a curated record.